Molecule: ribosomal RNA, 259 nt
Filed under: uncultured Burkholderiales bacterium
Lineage: Bacteria; Pseudomonadati; Pseudomonadota; Betaproteobacteria; Burkholderiales
Description: partial 16S ribosomal RNA
Rfam family: Bacterial small subunit ribosomal RNA
Source: RNAcentral
UACGUAGGGUGCAAGCGUUAAUCGGAAUUACUGGGCGUAAAGCGUGCGCAGGCGGUUAUGCAAGACAGAGGUGAAAUCCCCGGGCUCAACCUGGGAACUGCCUUUGUGACUGCAUGGCUAGAGUACGGUAGAGGGGGAUGGAAUUCCGCGUGUAGCAGUGAAAUGCGUAGAUAUGCGGAGGACACCGAUGGCGAAGGCAAUCCCUGGACCUGUAUGACGCUCAUGCACGAAAGCGUGGGGAGCAACAGGAUUAGAUACC